This 648-nucleotide long non-coding RNA is filed under the name Mustela putorius furo (domestic ferret). RNAcentral's name for it is "lncRNA (ENSMPUG00000031106.1)". The record is from RNAcentral. Lineage: Eukaryota; Metazoa; Chordata; Mammalia; Carnivora; Mustelidae.
AGCUACCAAGGCAUUAGAGUCAUCUCUGUUUAACAGUCACAUGUUUAAUUUAACAGCACUAACAAUCCAUUUGAUUUGGAUUUAUUCAGUCUAGUGGCAAAGUCUGAGCCAUCAGACUCAGCAUUCUAAGUCAUUGUUCCACACCCUUAUGCCCAGUUACCAUGGAACUGUGGAAAGAAUUGGCCUUUCCGACCCUUACCUCUUUUACCAAGUAUCACUGAAGAAUUUUACUUCAAGGGACCAAAGCAGUGGGAAGAGAAUGGGAAACUCUAAGAGAUGGCUUCUCAAAGACAUUAUUAUUUAAAGAGAAAACGAAAGUGUAAAUUAGGAAUCAAGGAAAAACAGGAAGUCUGGACCCCUGAAAGUCCCCUGCAUUGCAUUAGUGGUUGAGCCCUGAGCCAAGUUCUCUGCAAAGGACAAUCUGCAACGGGCAUGUGGUACAUGUUCAUCAGUCCUCUCUCCCAGAUAAAAGAAAAAGUUCUCUAACAAGGAAUGAGUGGCAAGCCCUGGUCCAUAUGCCUUCUUUUCCAGAAGGUUUAUAUGGUCAGUCGUGUAAUAGACAUAGUGUUCAAAGAUCAUGAAGAUUGGCAGAAUCACUGGAUUUGGUGCCGUGGAGAACUCCAUACAUAUAUGAAAGAUUACUCUUAG